Molecule: ribosomal RNA, 312 nt
Filed under: uncultured crenarchaeote
Lineage: Archaea; Thermoproteati; Thermoproteota
Description: bacterial SSU rRNA
Rfam family: Archaeal small subunit ribosomal RNA
Source: RNAcentral
AAAGCAUCCGUAGCUCGUUUUGUAAGUUUUCGGUUAAAUCCAUACGCUUAACGUAUGGGCUGCCGGGAAUACUGCAUAACUAGGAAGUGGGAGAGGUAGACGGUACUCGGUAGGAAGGGGUAAAAUCCUUUGAUCUAUUGAUGACCACCUGUGGCGAAGGCGGUCUACCAGAACACGUUCGACGGUGAGGGAUGAAAGCUGGGGGAGCAAACCGGAUUAGAUACCCGGGUAGUCCCAGCUGUAAACUAUGCAAACUCAGUGAUGCAUUGGCUUGUGGCCAAUGCAGUGCUGCAGGGAAGCCGUUAAGUUGCC